Molecule: ribosomal RNA, 459 nt
Filed under: uncultured bacterium
Lineage: Bacteria
Description: bacterial SSU rRNA
Rfam family: Bacterial small subunit ribosomal RNA
Source: RNAcentral
AAGGAGGCAGCAGUGAGGAAUAUUGGACAAUGGGCGCAAGCCUGAUCCAGCAAUGCCGCGUGUGUGAAGAAGGCCUGCGGGUUGUAAAGCACUUUUGUUCGGGAAGAAAUCAUGCUGGUUAAUACCUGGUAUGGAUGACGGUACCGAAAGAAUAAGCACCGGCUAACUUCGUGCCAGCAGCCGCGGUAAUACGAAGGGUGCAAGCGUUAAUCGGAAUUACUGGGCGUAAAGGGUGCGUAGGCGGCCUUUUAAGUCGGAUGUGAAAUCCCCGGGCUCAACCUGGGAAUGGCAUUCGAUACUGGGAGGCUAGAGUUUGGGAGAGGGUGGUGGAAUUCCCGGUGUAGCGGUGAAAUGCGUAGAGAUCGGGAAGAACAUCAGUGGCGAAGGCGGCCACCUGGCCUAAAACUGACGCUGAGGCACGAAAGCGUGGGGAGCAAACAGGAUUAGAUACCCGAGUAU